Molecule: ribosomal RNA, 397 nt
Filed under: uncultured bacterium
Lineage: Bacteria
Description: partial 16S ribosomal RNA
Rfam family: Bacterial small subunit ribosomal RNA
Source: RNAcentral
AAUAUUGCACAAUGGGGGAAACCCUGAUGCAGCGACGCCGCGUGAGCGAAGAAGGCCUUCGGGUUGUAAAGCUCUUUCACCGGUGAAGAUAAUGACGGUAACCGGAGAAGAAGCCCCGGCUAACUUCGUGCCAGCAGCCGCGGUAAUACGAAGGGGGCUAGCGUGGUUCGGAAUUACUGGGCGUAAAGCGCACGUAGGCGGACAUAUAAGUCAGGGGUGAAAUCCCGGGGCUCAACCCCGGAACUGCCUUUGAUUCUGGGUGUCUCGAGUCCGAGAGAGGUGAGUGGAAUUCCGAGUGUAGAGGUGAAAUUCGUAGAUAUUCGGAGGAACACCAGUGGCGAAGGCGGCUCACUGGCUCGGUACUGACGCUGAGGUGCGAAAGCGUGGGGAGCAAACA